UAAUACGUAGGGUGCGAGCGUUGUCCGGAAUUACUGGGCGUAAAGAGCUUGUAGGCGGUUUGUCGCGUCUUCUGUGAAAACUUGGGGCUCAACCUUAAGCUUGCAGGGGAUACGGGCAGACUAGAGUACUUCAGGGGAGACUGGAAUUCCUGGUGUAGCGGUGAAAUGCGCAGAUAUCAGGAGGAACACCGGUGGCGAAGGCGGGUCUCUGGGAAGUAACUGACGCUGAGAAGCGAAAGCGUGGGUAGCGAACAGGAUUAGAUACCCUGGUAGUCCACGCCGUAAACGGUGGGUACUAGGUGUGGGUUUCCUUCCACGGGAUCCGUGCCGUAGCUAACGCAUUAAGUACCCCGCCUGGGGAGUACGGCCGCAAGGCUA
This 378-nucleotide ribosomal RNA is filed under the name uncultured bacterium. RNAcentral's name for it is "bacterial SSU rRNA". It matches the Rfam family "Bacterial small subunit ribosomal RNA", at positions 521 to 896 of the family's 1533-position model. The record is from RNAcentral.